This 484-nucleotide ribosomal RNA is filed under the name uncultured bacterium. RNAcentral describes it as "partial 16S ribosomal RNA". It matches the Rfam family "Bacterial small subunit ribosomal RNA", at positions 30 to 507 of the family's 1533-position model. The record is from RNAcentral.
AUUGAACGCUGGCGGCAUGCCUUACACAUGCAAGUCGAACGGCAGCGCGGACUUCGGUCUGGCGGCGAGUGGCGAACGGGUGAGUAAUACAUCGGAACGUACCCUGUUGUGGGGGAUAACUAGUCGAAAGAUUAGCUAAUACCGCAUACGACCUGAGGGUGAAAGUGGGGGAUCGCAAGGCCUCACGCAGCAGGAGCGGCCGAUGUCUGAUUAGCUAGUUGGUGGGGUAAAGGCCCACCAAGGCGACGAUCAGUAGCUGGUCUGAGAGGACGAUCAGCCACACUGGGACUGAGACACGGCCCAGACUCCUACGGGAGGCAGCAGUGGGGAAUUUUGGACAAUGGGGGCAACCCUGAUCCAGCAAUGCCGCGUGUGUGAAGAAGGCCUUCGGGUUGUAAAGCACUUCUGUCCGGAAAGAAAUCGCGCUGGUUAAUACCUGGCGUGGAUGACGGUACCGGAAGAAUAAGCACCGGCUAACUACGUG